Molecule: ribosomal RNA, 577 nt
Filed under: Botrytis cinerea
Lineage: Eukaryota; Fungi; Ascomycota; Leotiomycetes; Helotiales; Sclerotiniaceae
Description: eukaryotic LSU rRNA
Rfam family: 5.8S ribosomal RNA (bases 216-369)
Source: RNAcentral
CUUGGUCAUUUAGAGGAAGUAAAAGUCGUAACAAGGUCUCCGUAGGUGAACCUGCGGAAGGAUCAUUACAGAGUUCAUGCCCGAAAGGGUAGACCUCCCACCCUUGUGUAUUAUUACUUUGUUGCUUUGGCGAGCUGCCUUCGGGCCUUGUAUGCUCGCCAGAGAAAACCAAAACUCUUUUUAUUAAUGUCGUCUGAGUACUAUAUAAUAGUUAAAACUUUCAACAACGGAUCUCUUGGUUCUGGCAUCGAUGAAGAACGCAGCGAAAUGCGAUAAGUAAUGUGAAUUGCAGAAUUCAGUGAAUCAUCGAAUCUUUGAACGCACAUUGCGCCCCUUGGUAUUCCGGGGGGCAUGCCUGUUCGAGCGUCAUUUCAACCCUCAAGCUUAGCUCGGUAUUGAGUCUAUGUCAGUAAUGGCAGGCUCUAAAAUCAGUGGCGGCGCCGCUGGGUCCUGAACGUAGUAAUAUCUCUCGUUUCAGGUUCUCGGUGUGCUUCUGCCAAAACCCAAAUUUUUCUAUGGUUGACCUCGGAUCAGGUAGGGAUACCCGCUGAACUUAAGCAUAUCAAUAAGCGGAGGA